UCUUAGUAAACACCUGCCCUCAUCGGAUAGUAUGUCUCUAAAGGUAGAUGUUGAGGCUCUUGAGAAUUCUCCUGGUGCUACGUACAUUCGGAAGAAGGGUGGAAAAGUUACUGGAGAUAAUCAACCAAAGGAACAAGGGUAAUGUUUUUCUAAUUCAAAGUCUGUAAAACAUUUCUAAGAUUGAUUUGAAAUUAUGUGAGAGAACUUGAU
Molecule: long non-coding RNA, 210 nt
Filed under: Rattus norvegicus (Norway rat)
Lineage: Eukaryota; Metazoa; Chordata; Mammalia; Rodentia; Muridae
Description: long non-coding RNA NONRATT009830
Source: RNAcentral